This 28-nucleotide non-coding RNA is filed under the name Mus musculus (house mouse). The record is from RNAcentral. Lineage: Eukaryota; Metazoa; Chordata; Mammalia; Rodentia; Muridae.
UAUCCACGGACCACCUACUCCCACAGAU